Molecule: ribosomal RNA, 264 nt
Filed under: uncultured Planctomycetota bacterium
Lineage: Bacteria; Pseudomonadati; Planctomycetota
Description: uncultured planctomycete partial 16S ribosomal RNA
Rfam family: Bacterial small subunit ribosomal RNA
Source: RNAcentral
GAGCACGUAGGUGGGUUUGUAAGUCAGGUGUGAAAGCCUUCUGUUCAAAGGAAGAACGGCAUCUGAAACUGCGAAUCUUGAGUGCAGGAGGGGAGAGUGGAACUUCUGGUGGAGCGGUGAAAUGCGUAGAUAUCAGAAGGAACGUCGGCGGCGAAAGCGACUCUCUGGCCUAUUACUGACACUGAGUGUGCGAAAGUUAGGGGAGCAAACGGGAUUAGAUACCCCGGUAGUCCUAACCGUAAACGAUGGGCACUAAGUAGAGGG